GGGAAUAGCUCAGCUGGUAGAGCGCAACCUUGCCAAGGUUGAGGUCGCGAGUUCGAAUCUCGUUUCCC
RNAcentral lists this transfer RNA (68 nucleotides) under uncultured Luminiphilus sp. It matches the Rfam family "tRNA". From Rfam's summary of the family: Transfer RNA (tRNA) molecules are approximately 80 nucleotides in length. Their secondary structure includes four short double-helical elements and three loops (D, anti-codon, and T loops). Further hydrogen bonds mediate the characteristic L-shaped molecular structure. tRNAs have two regions of fundamental functional importance: the anti-codon, which is responsible for specific mRNA codon recognition, and the 3' end, to which the tRNAs corresponding amino acid is attached (by aminoacyl-tRNA synthetases). tRNAs cope with the degeneracy of the genetic code in two manners: having more than one tRNA (with a specific anti-codon) for a particular amino acid; and 'wobble' base-pairing, i.e. permitting non-standard base-pairing at the 3rd anti-codon position. RNAcentral also lists the same sequence under 1 other name. The record is from RNAcentral. Lineage: Bacteria; Pseudomonadati; Pseudomonadota; Gammaproteobacteria; Cellvibrionales; Halieaceae.